This 69-nucleotide transfer RNA is filed under the name Spicospina flammocaerulea. Its description in RNAcentral is "tRNA-Trp". It matches the Rfam family "tRNA". From Rfam's summary of the family: Transfer RNA (tRNA) molecules are approximately 80 nucleotides in length. Their secondary structure includes four short double-helical elements and three loops (D, anti-codon, and T loops). Further hydrogen bonds mediate the characteristic L-shaped molecular structure. tRNAs have two regions of fundamental functional importance: the anti-codon, which is responsible for specific mRNA codon recognition, and the 3' end, to which the tRNAs corresponding amino acid is attached (by aminoacyl-tRNA synthetases). tRNAs cope with the degeneracy of the genetic code in two manners: having more than one tRNA (with a specific anti-codon) for a particular amino acid; and 'wobble' base-pairing, i.e. permitting non-standard base-pairing at the 3rd anti-codon position. The record is from RNAcentral. Lineage: Eukaryota; Metazoa; Chordata; Amphibia; Anura; Myobatrachidae.
AGGGACUUAGGUUAAUAAGACCAAAGGCCUUCAAAGCCUUCAGCAGGAGUCAAACUCUUCUAGUCCCUG